This 484-nucleotide ribosomal RNA is filed under the name uncultured Planctomyces sp. RNAcentral's name for it is "bacterial SSU rRNA". It matches the Rfam family "Bacterial small subunit ribosomal RNA", at positions 29 to 505 of the family's 1533-position model. Lineage: Bacteria; Pseudomonadati; Planctomycetota; Planctomycetia; Planctomycetales; Planctomycetaceae. The record is from RNAcentral.
AAUGAACGUUGGCGGCGUGGAUUAGGCAUGCAAGUCGAGCGAGAAUUUGUACAUGGAUCCUUCGGGUGAAGUUUGCGAAGGAAAGCGGCAAACGGCGUAGUAAUGCGUAGGUACGUACCCUCAGGUCGGGAAUAGCCACGGGAAACUGUGGGUAAUGCCCGAUAAUCUCCGCGGAGCAAAGGUGUGAUUCCGCCUGAGGAGCGGCUUACGUGAUAUUAGCUUGUUGGUGGGGUAAUGGCCUACCAAGGCAACGAUGUCUAGGGGGUGUGAGAGCAUGGCCCCCACGACCGGAACUGAGACACUGUCCGGACACCUACGGGUGGCUGCAGUCGAGAAUCUUCCGCAAUGGGCGAAAGCCUGACGGAGCGACGCCGCGUGCGGGAUGAAGGCCCUUGGGUUGUAAACCGCUGUCAGAGGGGAUGAAAUCAUGGUAGGCAAUCCUUCCAUGUUGACAGAGCCUCAGAGGAAGCACGGGCUAAGUACG